CAGUACCAGCGUGACGCGGCAUCGCGCGGCACCUCCACGUGCCCGCCAAGCGCCCAGCAGGAGCAGCAGCUGCAGCGUGCGCAACCCGACAGCGCCCAUGGCACCUGCAGUGGAGAGGGAGGAGGCUACUGUCUGUUUUAGCUCAGACUGGUCCCAAAGCUCCCGGGUACCAGGGAGGGUUAUGAAGUCUUGAUCCCGGCCAGAGCCUCACCUCGUACGGCAGUGCUCUGCGGCUUACAGCGCAGAUUCUCCUUUUAUCAUGGCUGAUCCAGCAAGCAGCAUCUGUGUACACCCAGAGUCCCUUGCCGCCUGGAAACCUGGGCCUGAACACCUCUCUCUCCCCUCAGAACCCUCUGUCUCCCACCUCAGGAGACAACCUCUGUUGUGUGUGUUGGGGGGGCGGAUGCUGGGAAUGAAACCCUAGGUCUUGCUCAUGCUGAGACACUCAUUUCUAAUUUGAGACAGGUAUCACGAUGUAUCUCAAGACUGGUUCAGAACUUGGCAUCCUACUACCUGGGCCUCUCCACCGCCAGAUGGCCGGUGUGUGCCACCGUGCCGUGCUCACAGUCUUCUGCCAGAUGUACCGAAAAGACAAACAGCACGGAGGCCUCAAGGGUGGCAUAGACGGGAGGAAGAGUGAGCAGGAGGCAUGCAGUCAAAGGACUCUGCUCUGAAGCAGGCAACCAUGGAGCGCUCUGAGCCAGAGACGGGGGGUGUUAGCUGCAGCAACCCCUCAUCACGCAGGAGCACCAAGCCCCGAGCAGCGUUUUCUCUUCGGCCCAUGUGGCUGCCUUCUCAGGCAAGCCUGGAGUUAAACAAGAGGCCUUGGUACCCCCCCAUCCGAAUCAAAAGGAGGAGUCUCUAGACAAACAGCUACCACCACCUGUACCCACUCUCACCUCUCACGACCCAGAUGAUGACUCCAGUGAGGUUUGCAGCAAGCCCACAAAAUCUGAGGGAGACCUGAAGGAUUGGGAGGGUCUCUGAGCUGACUGGAUAGAGAAGGGACAGAACCACCCAUCCCCCCAGGCUGGGAGCAGAGCAAGUGUAAAUAUUUAGUAUUUCUCGUGUGAGAAUCCAGGCAGAAAAACCAGAUCCCUUGCCGAGGCCUCCAGAGUGUGAUAACAGAGGCCACUGCCCUCCAUGAGUGUCUUCCUUUUUCUCAGAAGCUCACAGAGCAUGUGGGAUCCAGACUCAGACAACUAUGACAUAACUAAGAUGACAAUGACGGGUAUCAGUGAGCAACCUAACCUGCUUGGUGUUGGGGACACCCUUAAAGAGUAAAGCUUGUUCCUCAUUUAACCCUAGCAGCCAGGCUAGGGGUGUGACUCAACUGUAGAACCGCUGCCUAGAAUCCCCCAGUGAGGGACUGGGAUUGCCUCAGUAGUAGAGCACUUGUAAGGUCCUGGGUUGGUACCCAGUACUGCAAGAAGAAAACAAAACCUCAACAUGUGGUGGCGCAUGCCUAAUCACAGUUUACCUGGGAGAUAGAGGCAGUUGGAUCUCUGUGACUUCCAAGCCAGCCAGUGAGCCCCUAAGAAGGGAGUGGGGUUGGUGGGUGUUAGUUCAGGAUUGAUGGAGGCAGUGUGAAAUAAAGGAGACCGACACUGCCCUUUACUGCAGAAGUGGAGACUGUGUGCCAAGGUGCAGGGGGCGGAGAAGAGAUGGAGUUUUAUCUGUAUGUUUGUAGUCUCAGGGCUGAGAUGUUUUUAUAAUAUGCUGACCUGGUCAGGUUUCUCCUAGCUCCGGACUGCAGAUGUUCUCAUUACUAUGUAGGCUUUCCUGUCAGGCAAGGUGCUCUUACCGGUAUGUGCAGGGAGUUCCUGGUGCUCUUACCGGUAUGUGCAGGGAGUUCCCGGUGCUCUUAUCGGUAUGUGCAGGAGUUUCGAAGAUGUCUGAGGCUGUUUUAGAUCACUGUCUUAGUUACUGUUCUAUGUCUAUGAGGAGACAUCGUGACCAAGGCAACUUACAUAAAGAAGCAUUUAAUGGGGGCUUGCUUACAGUUUCAGAGGGUGAGUCCAUGACCAUCACAGCAGGGAGCAUGGCAGCAGAGAGACAUAAUCAUUGCAUCUGAUUCACAAGCAGGAGGCAGAGAGAAAGACACUGGGCCUUUUGAAACCUUGAAGCCCAGCCCCAGUGACACACUCCCUCCAACAAGACCACACCUCCUAUUCCUUCCCAAAAUGUUCCAUCAACUGGGUACCAAGCAUCCAAAUAAAUGAGCCUUGUUCAAA
Long non-coding RNA from Mesocricetus auratus (golden hamster), 2234 nucleotides. RefSeq lists it as uncharacterized. The transcript is spliced from 2 exons. NCBI's taxonomy places the organism in Eukaryota, Metazoa, Chordata, Mammalia, Rodentia, Cricetidae. The record is from RefSeq and is a predicted model, not a curated record.